Molecule: small nuclear RNA, 96 nt
Organism: Bison bison bison
Lineage: Eukaryota; Metazoa; Chordata; Mammalia; Artiodactyla; Bovidae
Source: Ensembl
GCCAGAGCAUUGUAGGGACCUAAUGGAACGAUACAGAGAUUAGCACGGCCCCUACGCAAGGGUGACACGCAAAUUCGUGAAGGGUUCCAUAUUUUU